UCUCUUUUCCAUAGUUCUUUUGCAGACGGUACUUUUAGUGAGUGCUUGUGUGUGAAGGUUUUCGAUCAUGGUGGUUGUGCAUGUUUUCUUUCUUCGGUGAAGGUUAUCCAUUACUUUCUUCUUCGUCUUUGGUUAUUCAUUCUUUUCGUUAAAGAAGCACAAACCGUAGGUGAAGGAAAAAGGAGAUUUUUGGUACGGCGGCAAGGAUCAUGAAGAAGGUCCAAUUCCAGGCAGGAAAAAUACAUGAAGCCAAACUAAUCUUUGAUGAAAUGAAGAAAAACCAUGUCAGAUAAGAUGGCUAUGCUCAUAGUAUCAUGAUAUCAGCAUUAUGUCGAGCCAAUCUUUUUCGGAAAGAAAAACAGUUAAGCAAGGAUUUUGAAACCACCUCUAAUAAAUAUGAUCUAGUUAUGCUGAACUCAAUGUUGUGUGAUUUCUUUAGAGUAGGUGAAAUGGAAAGUGUAAUGGAAACUCUAAAAAAGUGGAUGAACUGGAAACCAAUCCUAACUACAAUACCUUUCAUAUUCUAUUAAAAUAUUUCUGCAGAGAAAAAAUGUAUCUAUUAGCUUAUCAAACCAUGAAGGACAUGCAUGGUAAAGGCCAUCAACCAGGAGAGGUAUAGCGUCUUAU
Molecule: non-coding RNA, 627 nt
Organism: Vigna umbellata (rice bean)
Lineage: Eukaryota; Viridiplantae; Streptophyta; Magnoliopsida; Fabales; Fabaceae
Source: RefSeq, a predicted model, not a curated record